GACGAACGCUGGCGGCGUGCUUAACACAUGCAAGUCGAACGGAAAGGCCCUGCUUUUGUGGGGUCCGCUAGUGGCGAACUGGUGAGUAACCCGUGGGUAACCUGUCCUUGACGUUGGGAUAACUUCAGGAAACUGGAGCUAGUACCGGAUAGGAUCUCCUGCUCAAUGAUGGGGGUUGGUAAGUUUCGGCGGUUGGGGAUGUACUCGCGGCUUAUCAGCUUGUUGGUGGGGUAGUGGCUUACCAAGGCUUUGACGGGUAGCCGGCCUGCGAGGGUGACCGGCCACAUUGGGACUGAGAUACGGCACAGACUCCUACGGGAGGCAGCAGUGGGGAAUAUUGCACAAUGGGCGGAAGCCUGAUGCAGCAACGCCGCGUGCGGGAUGACGGCCUUCGGGUUGUAAACCGCUUUCGCCUGUGACGAAGCGUGAGUGACGGUAAUGGGUAAAGAAGCACCGGCUAACUACGUG
RNAcentral lists this ribosomal RNA (468 nucleotides) under uncultured bacterium. RNAcentral describes it as "partial 16S ribosomal RNA". It matches the Rfam family "Bacterial small subunit ribosomal RNA", at positions 28 to 507 of the family's 1533-position model. The record is from RNAcentral.